GAUGCAGCCCGGGUAGCCGCGGGGAGAGGGUUGCUCUCCCUGAGGAAAGUCCGGACACCACAGAGCAGGGUGCUGGAUAACGUCCAGCGGGGGAAACCCUAGGGAUAGCGCCACAGAAAACACACGGCACGCCGGCUUGGCGGCAUGCGCUGUCGGACCGGCUGCAAAGGUGAAAAGGUGCGGUAAGAGCGCACCGGCGUCGUGGUGACACGGCGGCCUGGCAAGCCCCACCCGGUGCAAGGCCGAAUAGGGAGGCGCUUGAGGGUUGCUCGCCCGAUGCCUCCGGGUUGGCCGCAUGAGCCGUCCGGCAACGGGCGGCCUUAGAUAGAUGGCUACCCUCGACAGAAUCCGGCUUAUAGGGCUGCUACCGCG
This 372-nucleotide RNase P RNA is filed under the name Thermoleophilia bacterium. RNAcentral describes it as "RNase P RNA component class A". It matches the Rfam family "Bacterial RNase P class A". Rfam says of the family: Ribonuclease P (RNase P) is a ubiquitous endoribonuclease, found in archaea, bacteria and eukarya as well as chloroplasts and mitochondria. Its best characterised activity is the generation of mature 5'-ends of tRNAs by cleaving the 5'-leader elements of precursor-tRNAs. Lineage: Bacteria; Bacillati; Actinomycetota; Thermoleophilia. The record is from RNAcentral.